RNAcentral lists this ribosomal RNA (472 nucleotides) under Cronobacter sp. EKM101R. RNAcentral's name for it is "partial 23S ribosomal RNA". It matches the Rfam family "Bacterial large subunit ribosomal RNA", at positions 142 to 652 of the family's 2925-position model. Lineage: Bacteria; Pseudomonadati; Pseudomonadota; Gammaproteobacteria; Enterobacterales; Enterobacteriaceae. The record is from RNAcentral.
GGUGCAUCAUCGUUUGAUGAAUACAUAGUCAAACGAGGCGAACCGGGGGAACUGAAACAUCUAAGUACCCCGAGGAAAAGAAAUCAACCGAGAUUCCCCCAGUAGCGGCGAGCGAACGGGGAACAGCCCAGAGCCUGAAUCAGCUUGUGUGUUAAUGGAAGCGUCUGGAAAGUCGCACGAUACAGGGUGAAAGUCCCGUACAUGAAAGCACACAGGCUGUGAGCUCGAUGAGUAGGGCGGGACACGUGAUAUCCUGUCUGAAGAUGGGGGGACCAUCCUCCAAGGCUAAAUACUCCUGACUGACCGAUAGUGAACCAGUACCGUGAGGGAAAGGCGAAAAGAACCCCGGCGAGGGGAGUGAAACAGAACCUGAAACCGUGUACGUACAAGCAGUGGGAGCCUUCGUAAGAGGGUGACUGCGUACCUUUUGUAUAAUGGGUCAGCGACUUAUAUUCUGUAGCAAGGUUAACCG